CCUACGGGCGACAGCAGUGAGGAAUAUUGGUCAAUGGCCGCAGGUCUGAACCAGCCAAGUCGCGUGCAGGAUGACGGCUCUAUGGAUUUUAAACUUCUUUUGUCCGGGAGUAAACGCCGUUACGCGUGUCUUUCUGAGAGUACCUUAAGAAUAAGCAUCGGCUAACUCCGUGCCAGCAGCCGCGGUAAUACGGAGGAUUCGAGCGUUAUCCGGAUUUAUUGGGUUUAAAGGGUGCGUAGGCGGGCGGAUAAGUGAGCGGUGAAAUUCCGAGGACCAACGUCGGAAGUGCCUCUGAUACUGUCCGGCUUGAGAGUAGGUGAGGUAGGCGGAAUGCAUGGUGUAGCGGUGAAAUGCGUAGAGAUCAUACAGAACACCGAUUGCGAAGGCAGCUUACCAGGCUACUACUGACGCUGAGGCACGAAAGCGUGGGUAGCAAACAGGAUUAGAUACCCGUGUAGUC
This 460-nucleotide ribosomal RNA is filed under the name uncultured bacterium. Its description in RNAcentral is "partial 16S ribosomal RNA". It matches the Rfam family "Bacterial small subunit ribosomal RNA", at positions 338 to 795 of the family's 1533-position model. The record is from RNAcentral.